Molecule: long non-coding RNA, 9343 nt
Filed under: Medicago truncatula (barrel medic)
Lineage: Eukaryota; Viridiplantae; Streptophyta; Magnoliopsida; Fabales; Fabaceae
Description: long non-coding RNA (MTRU_LNC000335)
Rfam family: MIR2629 microRNA precursor family (bases 1730-1798)
Source: RNAcentral
AUGGAAAUGUCAUCAAUAGAUAGGACAAGAGUUUUAACCCAAGACGAAUGCACUUUGUAUUCUUUCAUAACCCAUAUUUCAACUGUUCCAUCCUCCAUAGCCCAUAGACUUAGAAAUUCUCCAAAUAUCCACAAAUCACAAUCUAUAGGUUCAUAGUCAAAACCAUCUGGAAAAUGCAUCUCCAAAAGUUUCCUUUCCACUAAAUCAAAGCCAACAAUAACAUCCAUUGAUAAAUCAUGGCGAAAAGAGAACCAAUGAAUAGUCCCAUUAAAGAGCAUCCCUACUUUGGGAUCAUCAUUUGCAUUCAUAUAAUAAGGGAAGUGAUUAUACUUUACAAAUCCAGGACACUCAAUUUCGUUCCAUGUAUUAGCUCUCAAUGAGAAAAACUUCAAAUGUGAAGAAAUAUUAUCGUCUACUGGGUCUAUACUUGUAUUAUAGGACACUGAUACCACCAAGUAAUCAUCUCUUAAAUGGUCAUACCCAAAACCAUACAGACAACAUGAAUAUUUGGCAUCUAAAUUGGAAGCAGGAAAAGGUAUUUGUUUGUGAUGUCCAGUUGAUGGAUUCCAUAGGUAGAUGUUUGAAGAACAAGUCAAAACUAUAAAUCCUCUACAUGAACUUUUAAUUUCAAGACUAGAAUAAGAUUCUGGAGGCAUAAAAUUAAGGUUCAGUGAAGUAGAAGCAGAAUCAUCGUUAAGCGACGCUUCAAAAUCAAUGGAUCGAGUUUCAAGAGCUAGAGUUGACAUGAACACAAUUCUAUUAGUGUGUGUUGCAGUGGAAAGUUCAAAAUGCGAUUUUGCAAAGUUAUGAUCAGAGAUAAGAGCUAACAAUGACUUACAAACGCAUUUGAAACGUAUGAGAGACUUCACCGGUAACCUCAACAUGAUUUGUAUUAUCAAUUCAUGAGGCAGAUACAGGCCGGUCUUCUUCUCCAUCUGUCUUCCUCCUCUGCAAUCGAUGUUUUGUUUCUCUUCGUCUUGGAUUACUAAUUUAAUUUGUGUGAUGGUGAUAUAUAAAGUGAUGAUCCUUCUUUGGUACUCUUCACAAGUUCAUUGUUGAAUACUCUUUCCUACAUGGAAUGCGAUGAAUCAAAGAACAUUAUGUAUUGCUAUGCCCAAGCCCAACAUGUCAAUUUUAAAAUAAACCAAACAAAUAAAUUAAAAUACACGUAAAUAAGAUAUUCAACAACCCUAUCCCUAUGGUUUCUUUAACUAUCAACAACAAAACGUGUAAAAUUGCUUUAAACAACAUACCCAUUAAUAAAGAUUUGAAAUUUAGCACGACCCAGAUUGAGAUUUGAGGAAUUAAAGGCGUGAAAGUGUAAACGAACCAAAUGGGUCCUUUUAAUUGGUUGAUUUGGUGAAAACCCUAGUAGUGUGGUAGAUUGAGAGUAAACUGGAAAGUGAGUUUUGGUUAUUGAUGAAAAAGGAGAUAGGAGUGGUGGAGUCGGUGUUGAUGAGGUAGUUGUAGAGGGGAGAGAAAAAGUGGGUAGUGUGGAGAAAGGGGGAAUUGAGUUGAAAUCGAACUGAAGAAGAAGAUGAUGGAGGAAUGAUGGUGCUGAAUGAAGAAAAGGAUUUUGUAAUUAAAAAUUGAGAAUUGUUAGGACAAAUAUGCAUUGGUGUGUCACACUUGUAAUUUACCAAAAUGUUCCUCGGCAGUUAACUCCAGAGAAAAACUUCGGCAGUAAACUACUGAGGAAAACUGAAAACUUCGGUAGUUAAUUGCCGAAGUUUUCAGUUUUCCUCGGUAGUUAACUGCAGCCGGUUCCAUAAUUCGGCAGUUAACUGUUGAAGGGCAUUUCGGUAAAUUACUAGUGUGACACAGUCUUAUGCAAUGUGUCAACAGCAAUUCUCUUAAAAAUUAAGAUUUGUCUAUUUUUACCGGUUAAUUACCCACUCCCUCCAUUUUAAAAUGAAUGUCUUUUAAUGUUUUUUCUAUACAUAUUAAUAAAUGCAUUAAUUAAAAGAAAAAUAUGUUAUUUUAUCAUUAAUUAAUUAAUGUUCAAGAAGAUAAGAAUAAAAAAACAGUGUGCAACCCAAUAAAAGACCGUCCUAGCUAAAGUAUGAUUAACCAUGAUUAAUAAAAGAAAAAUUCCAUGAUGAAAUUUAUUAGAAUGACUUUUUUGGUGAAGUCAUUAGCAGUGGCGGAGCCAGGAAAUUUACGGAGCCCGGGCGAAAAAUUUAUCCCAAAUUAUAUCAAUAGUCAUAAAUCAAUUUUUUUAUUUUAAUAAUUAAAAAAAUCGAAAUAAAAGAGGUUUAUCAAUUUGUCAAUAAAAGUACAAUUUAAAAUAGGAUUAUUAAUUAAAAUCGACCAUGUAAUAUAUGUGAAGUCUGAAAAUUGGCCCUGUAAUUAAAUAACAUGUAUUUUGACCAUGUAAUUCGAAAUUUUUAUUAUUUAUAACCCUAUAAUAUACGUGAAGUCCAAAAAAGAAUUCGAGAGAUUGAAUUUUUUCAUGAUUUGUUAAAGGCGAGUUAAGAACGUUAAAAUACGGCUUUGCAAAAAAAUUUAGAAAUUUUCGACAAACGACAAAUUAAUUAUGAAUUUUUAAAGUGUCAAAAGCUCAAAAAACAAAACAAUGGAAAUCUCGACCUAUAAAUCAAAUUUUGAGCUCAUUAUUCGUAGAGACAUCUAUAAUUUUAUAUAAAAAGGAUAUGUAAAGUUUCAUAGCAUUUCGAAGUCGUUUAAAUUUAUUAUGAUUUUUUAACCAAAACGUGCAAAAUUGAAAUUUUGUUCCGCGUAAGCGUAUACUUACAAGUCAAAUUUAGUUCCCUAAUUUUGUAGGCAUGACUAGAGCAUGAUAAGAACCUUCACAGUGAAAUUUUGUAGUCUUUAAACGAGAUACAAAUUAAUAAUUAAUUUAUCUCUGGUCGAAGAAAUUUAAUUUUUUAUGUAAAGCUAUAUUUUAACGUGCUAAUCAUGUAUGAAAAAAUUCAACAUGUAGGUCACAUUUUUAGACUACAUGUAUAUUACAGGGUGGUUAAAAAUAAGAAGAAAUUCAAGUUACAAUGCUAGAAUAUAUAUGUUUUGUAUUUUUAAGGGUCAUUUUUCAGACAUAAAGUAUAUUACAGAGUCAAUUUGAACAAUUAACCCGUUAAAAUAAGAGAGAUGAACCCGUCAAUUGUGUGCUAAAUAAAAUUCUGAGACCUAUUUGCGUGUGAGAAUUUUCAGAUUGCCCAAAUUUUUCUUUUUGUAAGUGUGUUAAUUGGCUUUUGGGUUGAGUCUAAUGUGCAAAAAUUAUCGAUCGAGCCUGGGCGACCGCCCGGAGUCGCCGGACGGUGAAACCGCCCAUGGUCAUUAGAAUGACCAAUCAUUUUACAUUUAUGUAUUUAAUACAUAUCACGUCCAAUUAUAUUGUGUACUGUACAUUUGCUCAUACGGUGUGCCACUAUAUUUUUACUUGUUGUUUUAACAAAAAUAUUUUUACUCUUUUUUUGGCAAGAAAAAAUAUUUUUACUUAUUGCAAUUGUAUCCCUAAUUAAAUCAAAAUUAAAUUUUAAUAUUAUUAUUACUUUUUUUUGCCAACAAUCACUCUCUAUUUUUUUUUUAUCAUUGCACGCUACCUCCCUGCUUUUGCAAUUCUCCAUUCCACACGAAGCAUAGUUUUAAAACUCGGCUCGGUCAUCGACUCGGUGGGGUACUGGGUCACUGGAUCAAUAAUCAAACCAGUGAGUCAUUGGUCGAACCGCAUAACUGAACCGGAUUAAACCGGAUAACUCAGAUGUAUAACUCGGUCUAUAUGAAAAAUGUGUACUUGUAUUAAACUGAGAUGGAUCAUAUUAAACUAAUCACUCAAUCUCAAAAAUAAAAAUAAAAAAAAUCAUAAAACCUACCAAUUGUCAAAAUCAUCAAAAUUAAUCACUUUAUAUGCACAUUUCAUACUACACAAAUUUCAGAAGCGCGGUUCACUGACCCUGCCGGUUUUCAAAAACCACCGAGUCAUCGGUUUUUACCGAGUUUGACCGGUUCUUUCCGGUUCACACCGGUUUAAUAGCAUACCCGAUCCAAUACUUGGCUCGAACCGGUCAGGUGUCCGGUUCCCGAUUCAACCGAUUGAACCGGCCGGUCCGAGCCGGGUUUUAAAACUAUGCCCGAAGGUACUUCAGAUUUUCUUUCUCAAUAAUUGUCAUGUUUUUUUACGGUUAGCUUGUAGUUUUUCAUAUAAAGUUCAUGCUUCAAAAUUCGUAUGUUUAAUCGAAACAGUUUAAUGUGUUUUCUUCUUAGUUUCUCGGUUGGACUCUUUGGACUCUAUGAUAACUGCUAUCAAAUUUGAAUCCCUUUCUCUUUACAGGUUAUUGCUUUGAUAAUGAAAUUAGGUGAUUUGCUAGAAUUCUAUGAUUAAAUCCCUAACUUGGGUUAGCAAAAUGUAUAAUUUAGGUUAGCAAAAUCCCCUUACACAAAUGAAGAAGAAAGAGGAUGAUUAAAAAUGAUUUAAUUUGAGCAUAAAAUCUCCUUCUGCAGAUGAAGAAGAAACGACCAAGAUGAAGAAAAAUGAAUAAUUUGCAGAUGAAGAAGAACAGACGAACAAAAUGAACAGAUGAAGAACAAAAAUGAAUUUAUUUUAAAUUAAAUAAGUUAAUAAAUCAAAAGUAAUUAAUAUUUUAUACGAGGACUGAUUUGUAAUAAGAUAAAAUUUAGUCUUAGAGUGGUCCAUCACAAAGACACUAGCUAACAUUACAUAACAAUCAUGCUAUUGGCUAAAUAAAAUGACUUUUUCAAAAAAAUCAUUUUUUUGACUACACCAUAGAAGCCCCCUAAAUAAAAUUGGUUUGUUUGGAAGUAAUGUACAUAUAGUAUUAAUUGAAAGGUACGAUUGAAAAGAAAAAAUUAUUAUUGCAUUGAAAAAUGAAAGUGACAUUAAUUUUAAAACAAAUUUUUUGUUUAAAAGGACACUUAUUUUGAAACGGAAGGAGUAUUAUCAUUAAUCAAUUAAUGUUCAAUACAAGAAGAUAAGAAUAAAAAAUACAGUGACUAGCCCAAGGAUAGGUUGUCCUAGCUAAAAUAUGAUUAACCAUGUUCGCUUGUCUCCAAACAAACUUCACAUCGAGGUUGAAAUGUAAAGAUAAUUGAUAAAUAAUACUAGAAACAAUAGCACAGAAUUCUGAAUCACCAUGGCCCGGAGACGAUAGACCUUACACUGGAGUAGUUAAGUCAGACUCGAAGACAACCCAGUUCCAUUUGUUCCCAUCAGCAAAGUAAAUAGCAUCGAGUAAAGCUGAUGUCUCCCCCUCCAAAAGUGUCAUAUUUGUCCACUUUCAUUUCAUUUGAGUUAAAUGUCAAGUGUGUGCCACAUAGACAACUUUGCACAGUCAGCAUCUACCAACAUAGGUAAAAAUGCGACAAAUCAACAAAACAAAAAAAGUGGGUCCUUUCAUCUACCCGUGACGUGACCUUUUCUCACAUCAACUAAAGAUUUAUAAUCAAUCUAUUUUAUCUAGUUCACAUGUGUCAUGUCCCUCGUUGUGAUCAAUAGAUAAUGUGACGGUAAGAGAUAAUGCAACUUCUCCAACAUCACUUUGUUCCUUAACAAGACUGGAUAAAUAGUUGGACAAUUGUGAUUUUGGAUUGCUGCCGUAGUUGAGGCAUGAGACAGAUUACAGUUUAUAAUCCAGAAGUACUUGCAAUGAACUAUGAUCUAACCAGAUAUUGUGGUUUUACCGUUCAUUGUGGUUUUACUGCUCAUUAAACUAAUCUCUACAGUUGCUCGCAUAGAAUAUUUUAGUUCACACAAAAAAAUGUCCAUUCCAUUCAAAAAGAAGACAACAUGAGUCGACUGUGUCUUAACACAUGCAUAAAACCAACUAUUAGCAAAUUUAGAAAAAGAGAGAGAAAAUCAGCAAUAUCCGUAAAGUGUCUAACUGGAUUGAAUUGUGGUAUACAUAGGCAACCAACUAUUAGCAAAUUUAGAAAAACUUCCCACAAAGACCUCAAUUCAGCAUAGUAAUCAUUAACAGAAUUUGUACCUUGCUUCAGGUUGUUGAUCUUAGUUUUGAGUUUCCAAACACGAAUGCGAUCAGUUUUACUUAAACGCUCCUUCAAUUCUCUCCAUACAUCAGAAACAAUAUCAAUGUAUAGAAUACUAUGUGCAGUUGAAUCAGAAACAUAAUUCAUGAUCCAAGUAUGGAUGACAUUAUUGCAUCUCUACGCAUAGCACGUGCCCAAGCUUGAUAAUUGGACGUGUUCAAUGGAGGCUUGGUUGUCACAGAAUGAGGUCCAUCACUAGGAUGAACAGGGUCAAGACAAAUCCUGUGUUGGAUCUUGAACUCCAUUAUUGUUGGCAUUUCCAUUGUUACGCACCAUUGUUGUAAAAAAACAAGGAAAAAAAUAGAUGAAGUUUCAGGAAUCAACGAAGGAAGAAAAGUGAAGAAGAUAUAAAAUCUUCAAAAGAAAAUAAAGAAGAAAACGAAGCUUGAGAUGUACGCAUCCAUGGCGGAAGAGAAGCGUAACUGAAUCGUAACAACCUUCUCUCAAGAGAAGACUUCUGAUACCAUAUUAAGAAAGCUAAAAAGAGAGUGAAAUGAAGUGAAUAAAGGUUAAGCACUUAUUUAUAGACUAACAUAGGUACAGCUUAACAAUCAUACACUAACUCCAUCCUAUCUAAACUAACUCUAACUGUCAUAGCAGAAAGCAAGCUUGCGUGGCAAGUUUGUUAGAGCUAUGUCAGGUUACUUGCUCCUCAAGUAAUCUUCCAUCUUCUUCCAUUCUUAACACCAUGUGCAACAAAGCCUAACCAUUUGUGAUUGUAGGAGUCUAGAUUCGGUUUUUAUUAAAGAGAAUCCUCUACGUAAUCAGUCAAGCCUCCGAUCACUUAAAAUCAUAUCCCAUGACUCAAUUGAAUCACUUAAAGUCAAUGUUCGGAUGGACACACUCACUGCUCUUGAAGAGUUGUUUCUUGAAUGUCUAAAGUUAAACAUAGAGGAUUCUCUAAAAGAUAAAUAUCACUCCAAAAUGUAGCAGAUAUAUGUUUCAAAAAGAUUGGCAAAAGUUUCCUUCUGGAAGUAUUCUUAAAGUUUCAUCCUUAUAUCUUUGAAUUUACGAUCCCUGAAACUUACAUUUUUUUCCCCUCAAAAGUUGCUAAAUGAAUUCAAUUUAUGGUUUAUUAAAUUUCACUUAUUCAAUUUUGCAGAAAAUAUAAUAGAAUACCUGUGGCAUUCAUUCUUGCAUUGGAGGCUGGCCUAGUAUAAACAUCAAACAAGGCAUUAAAUGUAGUUUCUAUGAUAUUUAUAAUUUUAAGUGAUUUGUUAUUAUAUCAAACAUGUGAAUUCGGCUACAUAAUAGUUCAGAACAAGUUUAAUAAACAUUUCAAACUACAGGUUUCGCUUUUGACAAUAUUUUCCAUAUGUCAAAUAGAUUAUAUAUAGUUUCAGAAUACUUGAUUUCUUUCUUGUUCUUGUUGUGUGGGACUUCAAUUUUUGAAUUGUUAAAAUCCUGUUAUGAACUUUUAAAGCCAAUUUUUUAAGUACUUAAAACCCAAACAUUCAGAUUUUGAACUGUUCAAAAUCAAUUCAACACAAAAAAAAACAAAAAAAAAACAAAAAAAAAAAAAAUAGUUGGUUUUGGUUCAUAGAAGAAGUAGUUCAAUUCAGCUCAAUUUGGUUCAUAUAAACUUGAUACAUUUUCUUAUAAAGAACGGUAACUGAAAACCUUUGUUUCACUUUGCAAGUCACAGUUUUUAUAGUCUAUUUCCUGGAAUUGUGUUCUCUUUUCUGGUUUUUGAUCCAUCAUGCGCGGUUUGGACCUGUGAUCUUUGGUCUAUUUUGCAAAUUGUUUGGAUAUUGGAUGCUUGUUUCGCCUCUGUCUGAUUUUUCUAUCUUGGUUGAAUGAUGUUGCGCCACAGAAUUUGGAUUUGGAUGCCUAGAAUCUCUUUGGCUUUAGCCUCAGCUUUGUUCCUCAUUUCAUGUUCUCUUUCUUUAGGUUCCAUUUGUGUAGUGUUGCUUGUUUUUGUUGUUGUGUGGAGUUGUAUUAUUCGUUUGUGUUCUGGUUUGUUCCUACAUGCUAGUGCGGUGCUUUGUACGUUUUGCUCUCAUCCGGGGCACGUCUUGUGCUUGGUCCUGAAAUUUGUACAACCGACAGAAGCUGGCUUAGUAAUUGUUAAUAGUACCGUCAUCUGAAAUUGUUAAUUCGGGUCAGCGUUUUAUACAUGUUAGUCGCAAAAUAUAGAUUGACUGAUGCUUCCUUCGUUGAUCAAUUUCCCACACUCUCAAGUUCACCACCUUUGGUUGAAUUGUGAAUUUUUUUAGAUGUUAAAGCAAACUCAGCUCAGAUGAACUUUGUUGUGAAUCAUCAAUUCCAAAAGCUUUAGCUAUUUUAGGUGGAAAGUACAUGAAUAGUUUUUAUAUCAUAUCUUUAACAUAACCCCCUGAAACUACAGCUCUUGAAGAAUCGACUGUGAUACCAUUUCAUCAACGAACUAUGCCAAAAGCUGUGAUACCAUUUCAUCAACAAACUAUGCCAAAAGUUUAAGCUAUUAAGUGAAGACAUAAAUAAUUUUUCAAUAUUUUUCAACAUGACACUUCAUAAGAAUAUUGCAAACAAGUAACACAGCAUAUAUAUUAAAACUCAAUAAGUUAACAUGCAUAAUUAACUGUGAAUCACACAAAUGAAAUUGUCAACAUUUUCAUUGAACAUUACAGAUAUUUGACCAAUAAACAUAGUACAUUAGCUCAUGUGGCAUACUGGAUCAUAUUACAAACACAAUCAAACACAUAUUACCCGGCAAGUGCAGCUACCCAAGAGUUUAUAAUACACUAUAAUUAUAAAUAUUAAGAAAAAGUUGAAGAAAAAUGUUUCACAACUUCAUUCUUCUUCUGUGUGUCAUCUUCUUAGAUUUGUUCACUGUCACCGGGGAGUGAAAGCAGGGACUCUGUAUACAUAGCUACUAGGCGUCCACAUGGAUCGUUAUAGUAUGAGCGAUUUUCUAGCAGCUGACCAUUGCCAUCAUACUUCACCAAUCCAGUACCAUUUGUUCCAAUAAUAUGACCACAUUUUGUAGAGCAUAUUGGGGGAUCAUACUGAAUGUAAAUGUAAUCAAUAGAUAGGACAAGAGUCUUAGUCCAAGACGAAUGCACUUUGUAUUCUUUCAUAACCCAUAUUUCAAUUGUUACACCCCCCAUAGCCCAUAGACUGAGAAAUUCUCCAAAUAUCCACAAAUCACAAUCCAUAGGUUCAUGAUCAAAACCAUCUGGAAAAGGCAUCUCCAAAAGUUCCCUUUCCACUAAAUCAAAGGCAAUAAUAACAUCCAUUGAUAAAUCAUUGCGAAAAGAGAACCAAUGAAUAUUCCCAUUAAAGAGUGUCCCUACUGUGGGAUCAUCAUUUACAUUCAUAUAAUAAGGGAAGUGCUUAUACU